Xenia sp. Carnegie-2017 is the source of this 775-nucleotide long non-coding RNA. RefSeq lists it as uncharacterized. The record is from RefSeq and is a predicted model, not a curated record. The transcript is spliced from 5 exons. Lineage: Eukaryota; Metazoa; Cnidaria; Anthozoa; Malacalcyonacea; Xeniidae.
AUUUCUAUCCAUCCACAGCAUGUAAAACGUACCCAGAAUAGUUUCAUUCACAUCUACCUUCUAACGGUGAGCAAAGAUCUUGAGGAAUUGAAAAUUGAAAUACACAAAUUACAAUAUGAAGGACUCGCACUGCCACUAAAACUUGCGGAGAUAGAAACGAGAAUUAAAAUCAGAUGUUUUCUGGAAAAAUUCACAGAAAGACAACCUGGCAAUGAGUUAAAACAUUUGAUGUAUUCUUCUGACAAAGACAGUCAUGUGUCUAAUACAAUAUCUCUCGACCUUGAGACUAAACCAAAGAUAUGUCUGCCCAACCAACGAAAAAAAGGAAAUGUGUAAGUUAUUAAAACAGGAGGAGAAACUGACCGACACGAGGUGAAAGGAUCUGAAAGAGCUUCGAAGCAGAUAGUACGAUCGGAUCGUCUCCCUUGAUCGCAUUGACGAGCCAUGCGGCGGCAUAAUGCAUCAAGCUUGGUCAAUGCGGGUUUCAGAGUUCAUCGUGACGUGCAUUUUCGGCGUGUGGCAUGGUAAUUUACCAAACCAAUAUGGCGUCCACAUCAAAACGAUGUGCAGACGAAGUCGAAGAGGACGAAUCUGACGAUUCAGGCGAUGAUAGAUCUGAAGUUAGUCCAGGAGGUUGGCAUGUCUGUAACUGUAUCUCCAUGCUAGACGAUAUUUUUUCUACAUCAACAAUGCCAUCGGCAGCAUUGCUGUCAAAUGAUACGGCCAUGAUCUUCUUUUUAUUGCCUGAUGAGAUGAUCACAUCCAUCGCAUUCCA